This 1077-nucleotide long non-coding RNA is filed under the name Mustela putorius furo (domestic ferret). RNAcentral's name for it is "lncRNA (ENSMPUG00000028824.1)". The record is from RNAcentral. Lineage: Eukaryota; Metazoa; Chordata; Mammalia; Carnivora; Mustelidae.
CGUAAGGCGGCCCGGAAGCUCCUGGCGCCUGGCAACCGGCGCGCGUCGGGCGGGCGGGGCUGCGGCAACCGGUGCGGCUCGCCGGACCGGGCGGGGCUGAGUGGCGGGCGAGCCGCGCUCCGUAAGCGGAGCGUCGCCGGGCUGCGGAGAGCCGAGCAUGUUCGCUCCGAGAGCGGAGUCCGCACGAGCGCUGGGCCGCCCUCCCUGCCCCGCUGCCGCGGCCAGGCCAAGCGGGGCGGAGGUCUCCCGCGUUGUCCCCUGCCCCCGUUGACCCCGCUGCGGGAGCCUCAGAGGGCACCACCGCCACGGCCCAAGCAUUCGAAGAAGCCCCUCUCCUCCAAGGUGGAGCUGCGGGGACAAAUCUCACUUUCAUCAGCACUGUUGGAAGAAGAAAAAAUGCCAGUCCUGUCUCCGGAAAUCAAAUUUGAUACUUCCAAUGUUACCAGAAAUUCCUUUGACAGUUGUUUUCUUUUUGAGAGUAGUUGGAGGAAAGCAGUUUUAGAAACACAAAAGAUGAAGAAAGAAUACACCUUUGGUCUAGAAGAGUUCAAAGAAUGUGUCAAGAUGCCGUAUUUACCAGGACUGCAGAGUUGCCCAAAAAGUGUAAGUUCAACUCCACUGGAAGUUCGUCAGAGACUGCGGCAGGCUGACCCCGAGAUGUGUCCAGUCAGGAUAAGGAAGAUUAAGGAGGCCCGCACUGUGGUACCACUUCAGGAGAAAACAAAGGGAUUUUUAAGGCAUUCUAAUUCUUCAAUCAACUUUGGUUCUGGCUUCAGUGAUCCUAUUGCUGGAGCAUCAUCUCAAUACUUACAGAGACUUUCCAAAAUGGCCAUAUUGGAGUAUGAUACCAUUCGUCAAGAAACUACUAGAAAAUCCAAAAAGAGCAAGAAACGAGACCUGCGAGACUGCUGAUAAGUAUCACAUCACAUGCAAUGCUUUCUUCACUGAUGUCUAAGGUUUAUAUAUAUUUUCCUUUCUUUUUCUUUUUUUGAUAUGUGGUAUGAUGUGCAAUGAUUUACAUAAAAAUGGAAAUGUAAAUAAGAAAUAAAUAUUUUAUGUAAUAUACAGAAUCAUUUG